AUGAUUGGAUAAAGAUGUAGUAUAUAAAAUUAGAACUAGAGAUUAGCAUGGCCCCCGCGCAAGGAUAACACGCAAAUUCGUUAAGUGUUCCAUUUUUGU
Molecule: small nuclear RNA, 99 nt
Filed under: Rhinolophus ferrumequinum (greater horseshoe bat)
Lineage: Eukaryota; Metazoa; Chordata; Mammalia; Chiroptera; Rhinolophidae
Source: RNAcentral